Molecule: transfer RNA, 70 nt
Filed under: Platyscapa corneri
Lineage: Eukaryota; Metazoa; Arthropoda; Insecta; Hymenoptera; Agaonidae
Description: tRNA-Lys
Source: RNAcentral
CAAUUAAUAUCUUAAUUUUAAAGAAAUGAUCUUUUAAAUCAUCUCUAGUAAAUAAACGUACUUCAAUUGA